GAAGCUCUCCUGGGAGGUGAGGGCAGUGCCUGUCUGUCCUCCAUUCCUGGUCACACCUCCUCACAAGUCUCCUUCCCCUCAUACCUUGUUUUUUUUCCCCUUUGUUUAGAUUACUCUUUCCACUGCAAUCUCUGAUGCUGCUCCUCCUGCCACCCAGCUUAUUCCUGCACCUCUUUCAGAUCACUGCAUCUUCUAGCUCCAGAGUCGAUGUUUGCUCUCUACAUUAUUCCUCCCGGCACUUGGAGGCAACCUUACUUCAGUGGAUGGAAAUAAACAUAAUAUAGAGUCUUCCUGGCUUCAGUGUCUGCCAAAAUCAGAAAACAACAAGCUGAUUGUGACAUCAAAUUCCAGAGGAAGCCAACAAGUAACUUGUUUGUGUUGGGCUGCCACAGGCCCGUGAUGAUUAACUGCCGUGCCCCCCAUUCUCUCCAGGCCUCUGGAUGUGGUGCUUCCUUACCUGUAAACAGAAUCAGGAUGCAUCCUGAAGGGCAGCCAAGUGUCUGGCCUGGGGCUCUGUUCUUCAAAGUCUCAGGAAGAGAUGUUGAUAAUGACUGAGCAGAAAUAGAAGGAACCUGCAAAGCUUCCUGGAUUGUUUCUUCAGUGGCUUAUGCUCAUUGCAGGAGAGAGCUUGAAGGAAAUACCACAGAAGCUUAAAUAAAAUUGAGGAGUUACAGGAGUUUUCCCCUCUAAACUGAAAGAGAAGACUGCCUUUGCUAGAGGCAGUCUGCAAGACCCUGGUCCUUCUUCAUGGCAGUAUUACAGAGAUGACCUCCAGUUUUCUCUAUGGGGUGAGUCAAUGGCCACUGGGCAGAACAUUCCUUUGUGCUGAGAGUGCAAGGAACAGCAAGAACCCUGGACCUGAAGGGGCUUGUCAACAGGGACAAUAGAACAGGGUAGCCAUGAGAUGAAUAGCAGUGACUCAUCCCAACACUCUAUUGUCUUAAUUUUCAAUGCUUUGAAAUGGAUGAUUCUGGAAUAUUGACAUGACCCCAGUAGGAGAGGUUACAGACUCUCCUUGACUAUAUUCAGACUCCUAAGCCCUCUUCUUGACUCAACCCUGGUGUGUAGAAACUAUAAACUCUCAGCACAGUUGGUUUUGUCCACAGCCCCAAUACACAUGCACACACACACACACACGUGUACCUAACAUGAUGAGUCUAGCCUCCUUAAAUUCCUUCCAGAAGAUUCUCAAAGCUGCAAAAAGACUUUAUUGCCUAUUCUUGCCAACAUCUAAAGUUAAGGCCUCUGUCUCCCAGUCUGUGGAUGGUAGGAGCCCAAUUUCCACAGCUGCCAGAUAGCAAAACCAAAAGCCCUGGCCGCAUUGACAGUUCCUACCCAUUUCCUGCUUUUUGAGAGUUUCCACUUCCAUAAUUUCCCAAGUCCUUACUAUUCCUCAUCACUAUUGUCUCAUUCUCCCCUCAUUUCACCUAGUUACCUUUGCACAAAUCAAAAUUCAACUCAAUUCACCCUGGGUUGUCUGCCCUAUUGCAAUUGUUAUUGAUUCAAGUCAGUCCUUAUCACUUUAGUAUCUGACUUUGUUUUCUUAGAGGCAUCCCCAGGAACAAGUGAGGUGAAGUGGAUUAUCCCACCAACCCAGCCAAAUGAACAGAGUCAUAUUUAAAAUUAAGUUGAAUUUCAGAAAUUUGGUACAUUAUUUUUUUGGCAUUGCUGAUUCUGUGACUUGAGACUCACAACCUCUGAUGGAGAUAAUAAGAAAUUAUAUGCUAAUAUCCUUAUUUAGCUGGUGGGAAUAUACAUAAGAAAAUAUUAUGGUGAGGAGAAAAUAUAUUAUACAAAGCAAACAAAAGUCUAAAAUGACUUUUACAUACACUAUGCCUUUGGUCUCCAGGAGAACUAGUGACUAUAAAUUUCCCAUGUACAAUGGCAGAGAAGUUGAAGUUCCCUUAAAUCAGCAUGUGCACUAUACCUUUGCAGAAUACUUUUCAUCCUGUUUAGCGGGUUCUUCACCAUCAAUUGUGGCCUAUCAUGGAUUCUAGGAGAGAGGAGACAUUUUUCUGGAUUUCAGCAUUUUUCUUCAAAAGAUUGUAUUUGGUUAUGAUAAGACUGUUUAAUAAUUGUGUUGACUUCCACAGGGCUUUCAAAGCCAUAUGAACAAUAGUAAAGCACAUGUUUAAAUGUGGUUCCUAUCAAACCUUAAAUAAAAUCUUGUAAGAUUAGGAGGGCUGCUUUUAAAAAAUAUUCUCAGAUCCUUUUCUCUGAAGAAAGGGCCCUCAGAUUCAAGGGCAACAACAACAACAAAGGAUUUACACCUACCAAUGUAGUCUUGAUGAAAUCUCUGUUCAUUCUGCCCAAAUAGAGAGAACAUCUUAAAAGUUAGAGCACAUAUGAUUUAUCAAUUAUGAAUUUGGUUUUGAAAGGACCAUCUGAUAUUCUAUGCCAUUUCUUGAAAUCCCUCCUGUUUCAGAUACACACAUUUCAACUGUCCUAAAUAAUCCUUUUUUUUUUUUUUUAAGAAAUGGUAUCUUUUUUCAUUUUAUCCUUUCCUACUCAAUGGAAAGCUUGAAUGAUUCUGAGACACAAAAAUAAAAAGUAGGCAAGUUCAUUUGUCCCAUCUUUUACAAAGAUGAUUAGGAAAUAUUUAUUAGGUCCUUGUCAAGAUUCUUGAUGUUUCAAAUCCAAAAUCAACCCAGGACUCUUUUGCUUGAUCAAAACAAUCCUUAAAAAAAUACCUUUCAGAUUAAAAAAUAAUGACAUAUUAAUUUUAAAAUCCAAACUUGCAACUUCAAAAAAAAAAAAUCAGAGACUCCAACAAAGGGGAAUAGUAGCCCAAUACUUAGAUGUGUGACCCCUAAUUCACCACAGGCUGCAAGGACACUUCCCAGUGUUUCCCAGCCAGGACAUCAAUCCACUCCCUCAUUACCAUCACCUGCCAGGUGCCUGUUGUUCAGAUUAACUUGAUGUGGAAGUGCCUCGUCCCCAAACAGCUGAGUACUCAGGAACUACUUCCUGCCCUAACUGACUUCUUUCCUCUGAUAGUCCCACCAUGGUUGAUAACAAAGGGUCUUUAUAGCUGCCUUAAUAAAUGAGAUUCAUAUGAGGAGAGAGUUAUUUAGAAACUUUUUUUGAACUUUAGGUUGGCUUAGUUUUCCUGGAAUGUCUAAUUUCACUCAGGAAGUAGCUCCAACUCUUUCAAGAAUAUCAAGGCCAGAAAAAGCUCAUCUCAGUCAUUUCCAGGGUUAUGUGGGUCCCUCAAGCUCCUGACGGGAGUAAAGGAAUCCUCCUGUGUCAUUAGGACCCCUAGAGGCCUGUCCUGCUGUGAAAUGAUCACUUUUCCCUGACUGGCUACACAGGAAGCACUUGUAGAAUUUCCAGAAUCUUAAGGAAUUGGAGAACAGAGUGCUUCUCAACUCUAGCACAUCAGUGAGGUCACAUUUAGUUAGGCAAACUUAAGCAAGGUAGAUUGAAACAUUGCUUUAAAUUCCAUGUAGAAUGGGGUAGAGGGGACAGCGAGACAGAGUUAACAAAUGUGUUAACUCUCUGAGCCUCAGUUUCCCUAAAUCAAUAAAGCAAACUAUAAUAA
Non-coding RNA from Ictidomys tridecemlineatus (thirteen-lined ground squirrel), 3541 nucleotides. The record is from RefSeq and is a predicted model, not a curated record. Lineage: Eukaryota; Metazoa; Chordata; Mammalia; Rodentia; Sciuridae.